GAGGGGCUCGCGGCCGAUUAGCUAGUUGGUGAGGUAACGGCUCACCAAGGCAGAGAUCGGUAGCCGGUCUGAGAGGACGCACGGCCACACUGGGACUGAAACACGGCCCAGACUCCUACGGGAGGCAGCAGUGGGGAAUCUUGCACAAUGGGGGAAACCCUGAUGCAGCGACGCCGCGUGAGCGAAGAAGCCCUUCGGGGUGUAAAGCUCUUUCGGCGGGGAUGAUCAUGACGGUACCCGCAGAAGAAGCCCCGGCUAACUACGUGCCAGCAGCCGCGGUAAUACGUAGGGGGCCAGCGUUGUUCGGAAUUACUGGGCGUAAAGGGCGCGUAGGCGGUACGGCAGGUUCGGUGUGAAAUCUCGCGGCUUAACGGCGAGGGGUCAUCGAAAACGGUCGUGCUGGAGUGCCGGAGAGGGGAGUGGAAUUCCCGGUGUAGCGGUGAAAUGCGUAGAUAUCGGGAGG
Molecule: ribosomal RNA, 463 nt
Filed under: uncultured Acidobacteriota bacterium
Lineage: Bacteria; Pseudomonadati; Acidobacteriota
Description: bacterial SSU rRNA
Rfam family: Bacterial small subunit ribosomal RNA
Source: RNAcentral